This is a non-coding RNA of Canis lupus familiaris (dog), 108 nucleotides long. The record is from Rfam. Lineage: Eukaryota; Metazoa; Chordata; Mammalia; Carnivora; Canidae.
GUGCUCACUUUGGCAGUUCCUGUACUAAAAUUAGAAUCAUACAGAGCUUGGCAUGGCUGCUGCACAAAGAUGACACGCAAAUUUGUGAAGAAACAAUAACCCAAACUU